GGUCUCAUAGCUCAAUAGGUAGAGCAGCGUGCUUAUAACACGAAGACCUAGGGUUCGAUUCCCUUUGGGACCA
Molecule: non-coding RNA, 73 nt
Organism: Tritrichomonas musculus
Lineage: Eukaryota; Parabasalia; Tritrichomonadida; Tritrichomonadidae
Source: the annotation of a GenBank genome assembly